RNAcentral lists this small nucleolar RNA (98 nucleotides) under Hordeum vulgare subsp. vulgare (domesticated barley). RNAcentral describes it as "Small nucleolar RNA Z247". It matches the Rfam family "Small nucleolar RNA Z247". Rfam says of the family: Z247 is a member of the C/D class of snoRNA which contain the C (UGAUGA) and D (CUGA) box motifs. The record is from Rfam by way of RNAcentral. Lineage: Eukaryota; Viridiplantae; Streptophyta; Magnoliopsida; Poales; Poaceae.
CCGCUUGACGAAGAUGAAGUAGUCUCGCAUAUCCUGGAAGGCUUGGAUGCAGAUUACAACCCCUUCGUCUCUGCCAUAUCUAUGCGUGUAGAUCAAGG